This 302-nucleotide long non-coding RNA is filed under the name Phascolarctos cinereus (koala). RNAcentral describes it as "lncRNA (ENSPCIG00000033880.1)". Lineage: Eukaryota; Metazoa; Chordata; Mammalia; Diprotodontia; Phascolarctidae. The record is from RNAcentral.
UUUUUGUGCCUUAGCUUAUCCAGCCCUCAAAUGGGUGUGGUGGGGAAGUUGUCUUCCUUGCAAUCCACAGAGUCCUUUUUGUGGAAAAGCCAACAUUUCUCUCUCUGAUGCUGUUUUCUUCACAAUGUCCUCAAUGUGCUGGGAAUUGGAGAAUUCCUCGGGUCAUGGACACGUUGAUUCAGCCGCUCAACAGAACACGGUGGCCUGGGUGGAUAGAGAGGUUACUAGUACCUGCCUCUCUGAGAAGUCAGUGACCAUGUCAACCUUCUAGGCUGAGCAGCAACACUUCAGAAAACUUCCCC